This is a non-coding RNA of Lepisosteus oculatus (spotted gar), 687 nucleotides long. Lineage: Eukaryota; Metazoa; Chordata; Actinopteri; Semionotiformes; Lepisosteidae. The record is from RefSeq and is a predicted model, not a curated record.
AAACCUCCCGGGUCACGGGACCCGCGCGCAGUUAGACACGCCGCGAGGGCAGCGCCGGAUCGCUUCUUGCCAGUGUUAUUUACUUCAGUGAGCUGUGGCUGACGUUAAACAAUAGCAAACCCUUACGCCAUCACACAGCGCAGCGCCUGUCGGCUCAGGUCUCUGCUGGAGGGAAGACAGAAAGCGACGCACCCGGGCGCGUUCACAUCCCUUGUACGAGCUCGCCCCCGGCGCGGCCGUGAGCGAGGCGUGCGCGUCUCCCGGUUGGGGCGCGCGGAACGGUGAUGCUGCUGAGGAGGAAGAUGGCGGCGGAGUGGAGUCUGGAGAGCUGCUGCGGGCACUGAGGGAGCGAGAAAGACACCGGAGAGAAAGGAAGGGAUACAAUAAAGGCACGCCAGCGACCACACACACCGCAGCCCAGUCACCGCCUCCGGCAAACCGGCGUCAGGAGCGCUCGCUGCCCUCGCAGGCUCUUCGGGGGAGCCGAGAGAGGGACCUCAGGAGCCCCCGGUCCGGAGCGCCUGGGAGCUGGGAGGAGACUCGCCGAGCAGCCGGCGGAGGGAGAGGCUGAGCCACACCGGGGAGCCGCGGCCCGGAGAGGAGCAGCCAUGGCUUGCUCGUCCGACAGCGAGGACGAUGGCUUCGUUGCCAUGGACACGGAGGAGGCGGCGGGCGGGGCUGCGGGGG